UGCCCGGUGAGGAGAUUAAACGGCCGCGGUAUUUUGACCGUGCGAAGGUAGCAUAAUCAUUAGCUUUUUUAUUGUGAGCUGGUAUGAAAGGUUUCACGUGAGAGGGCCUGUCUCGGCUUAAACUGUGAAUUUAAAAUUUUUGUGAAGAUGCGAAAGUGUGCUUAAAAGACGAGAAGACCCUAUUAAGCUUUACACUACUUCUUUUGGAGGGGCUGAGAAGGGGGCUGUUUCGCUGGGGCGGCGGACAAAAACUUGUUGCGGCGGAAGGAUGCUUCUUCUAGAUGAUUUUUGACCCACUGUCGGGGUGGGAGACGGAGAAAGUUACUGUAGGGAUAACAGCGUAAUUAUAUUGGAGAGCACAUAUUGAUAAUAUAGUUUGCGACCUCGAUGUUGAAUUAGGAUCCCUUCCUGCCGCAAGAGGCAGGAAAGGCAGUCUGUUCGACUGUUAAACUCCUACA
This 458-nucleotide ribosomal RNA is filed under the name Schendyla tyrolensis. RNAcentral describes it as "LSU rRNA". It matches the Rfam family "Bacterial large subunit ribosomal RNA", at positions 1860 to 2600 of the family's 2925-position model. Lineage: Eukaryota; Metazoa; Arthropoda; Chilopoda; Geophilomorpha; Schendylidae. The record is from RNAcentral.